Non-coding RNA from Arachis ipaensis, 185 nucleotides. The record is from RefSeq and is a predicted model, not a curated record. NCBI's taxonomy places the organism in Eukaryota, Viridiplantae, Streptophyta, Magnoliopsida, Fabales, Fabaceae.
ACAGCAUGCAUGGCGCCUGAUUUGGAGACCGGUGUUCCAUUUAGAGCCCAGGCUAUUAUUGCCAAUCCUCUAGCUUAUGGACACACACAUGUUGCUGAAGUCCUUGGGGUACCUCUUCACAUCUUCUUCACAAUGCCAUGGACGCCAACAUAUGCAUUUCCUCACCCUUUGGCAUGAGUUCCUAA